GCAAUAGGUACGCGGCCGGUAGAACUGCGCGCGCCGCUAAGCGGAAGCUACGGUGGGAGCCGCAGCGCGCGUGGUCAGCGGCUAUGGAGGGCGCAAAGCGUGCAGACGCCAAUUUACUCACUGACACCGGAACAGAGUCCAGCCCCCGAAGUCCAGUCUGCAGUCUCCGGCACUUUGCUUGUGAGCAAAACCUGCUGUCCCGGCCGGAUGGAUCUGCUUCUUUUCUUCAAGGUGAUACCUCUGUCCUGGCUGGAGUCUAUGGGCCGGCCGAGGUGAAGGUCAGCAAAGAAAUCUUCAACAAGGCCACCCUUGAAGUGAUCCUGAGGCCGAAGAUCGGGCUGCCUGUCUCCCUCCAGAGGCUGGACCAAGCAGAGCAAGACGACGGGGUGGAAGGGAAGAGCCUGACCGCUUCCCGUCUCCCCAGGCGUGGCCGAGAAGAGCCGCGAGCGGCUGGUCAGGAAUACCUGUGAAGCUGUGGUUCUAGGGGCCCUGCACCCCCGGACCUCAAUCACCGUGGUGCUGCAGGUGGUGAGCGACGCUGGCUCUCUCUUGGCCUGUUGCUUGAACGCUGCUUGCAUGGCAUUGGUGGAUGCAGGUGUGCCCAUGCGAGCCCUCUUCUGUGGGGUCACCUGUGCCCUGGACUCUGAUGGAAAUCUCGUGCUGGACCCCACAACCAAGCAAGAAAAGGAGGCCCGGGCCAUCCUGACCUUUGCUCUGGAUAGCGCCGAGCAGAAGCUGCUCAUGUCCACCACCAAGGGGCUCUAUUCUGACGCUGAGCUCCAACAGUGUCUGGCCGCCGCCCAAGCCGCCUCACAGCACAUCUUCCGAUUCUACCGGGAAUCACUGCAGAGGCGCUACUCGAAGAGCUGAGGCACGCCAGGGUAGGGCGCCCCUCCCACCAUGCCCACCGCCUACCACCGCCACGAGCCAGCACUCCACUGUGCCUCUGUCUGUGCCCAUGUAGCCUCUGGUCCUGUCGCAGCGGAGGCUCCUGUGCCAGGCUGGGGUGGGGGCUUAGGGACAUUCUAGGCCUGGGUAUAACCCUCCCUUCAUCAGGAUACCAUUAAAAAGGGCUCCCCCGUGUUGGGUGAGUGAGUCAGUACCCACUGA
Mus musculus (house mouse) is the source of this 1110-nucleotide RNA transcript. It is a transcript of the gene named exosome component 5, with no coding region annotated. The record is from RefSeq and is marked validated. Lineage: Eukaryota; Metazoa; Chordata; Mammalia; Rodentia; Muridae. The transcript is spliced from 6 exons.